CGUGUGCCCAUUUUGAAGCUGUUUAGUGCUGUGGUUGCGAUACGAGUUCACUAUAGGGGGUUUUUCAUGCGACCAUGCCAAGUGUUCAUUGCAUUUGUGGACUUGUCCUAGAGGAAAUGUCUUCAUCGCGUUUGCUGUGAUUGAAACGAUUGAUGAGCCAAGAAAGAUGAGUCUCAUUCCAUGCGAGCUGUGGAAUUUGUGGGCAAAAUGGACGAGGAAGUAAAAAUUCCACCAAUUCAUCCUUAGCAGAAGAGAAUGAACAAUGACAAGUGCGCAGUAUUUCAAAAGAGAAUGUUCACCUAUAUUUUAGUUAUUACAAGCUUUGUAACUAAUGUGUUCUUUUUGGUGAUUGUUCGAGCACCUGUUCAUCUUCAUGUCAGCAGUCGUGUAUUGCAAUAAUCAUGCUACCCGUUUGAUUUAACAAUUUUUUGUGAUCUUUUGUAUUAACGUUUGAUCAAUUUUUUCGCACUUUCGUUUCGCAGAAUUUAGGACAUGAUUGGUUAUUCUAAUGUGACUACUGAAUAGGACCGCCGUCAAGCAGAGCACUUGCGCGUCCUUUUGGUACGAUCCCUUCAUGCUGUAAUCUUUCAACAUUAUUGACAAUCUUUUCAUGGUGUACGUACAAUUUCAAUUUGGAAUGUUUGGCAUAGUUCGAGGGCAUAAUCACGUGAAAAUUACGCAUGCAAAUUGAAUUAACUUGAAAUUUGAGAUACAUGUUUCAUGUAGUGAGAUAUCUUCAUGUAGCUCUCACAGAAGUAUUGUGACCCUGAAAUGAAAAUUGUGUUAGUUGGGAAAUCGCAGCAGAUGUAAACUGCUUGAGAAUUCCUCUAGAGGUGGACAAUGAGCAGUCCAGGUGCAGGCAGUUUGUGUGAAAAGUUUGUGACCAGACAUGGUCUAUAGCAUUAAAUUCGAUUGAUGGUAUUCUAGCUGCUCAAUACCUGUUAGUGAUGGAGUAGCUUAUGUUGUCUAAAUUGACAAAGUUCCAUUUUUCUUGAAUUUUGCAAAGGAGAAGGUCCAAGGUUUAAAACUAUAAAUUUUAGUGAGAAAAAUACAAUCAAGGAACUCAAAGAUUUUUUUACAAGUCUGGAUGUUGGCAUUGAAGAUAUUUUAUUUGAUACAAGUA
Molecule: non-coding RNA, 1123 nt
Organism: Physcomitrium patens
Lineage: Eukaryota; Viridiplantae; Streptophyta; Bryopsida; Funariales; Funariaceae
Source: RefSeq, a predicted model, not a curated record